This 465-nucleotide ribosomal RNA is filed under the name Ansonia teneritas. It matches the Rfam family "Bacterial large subunit ribosomal RNA", at positions 1968 to 2597 of the family's 2925-position model. The record is from RNAcentral. Lineage: Eukaryota; Metazoa; Chordata; Amphibia; Anura; Bufonidae.
CUUGUUCUUUAAAUGAGGACUAGUAUGAAUGGCACCACGAAGGUUAUACUGUCUCCUUUUUCCAAUCAGUGAAACUAAUCUCCCCGUGAAGAAGCGGGGAUAAAACUAUAAGACGAGAAGACCCUAUGGAGCUUUAAACAACAUAGCACUUACCAUACAAUUUUUAAACUAACUUAUCGGGUAAUAUGACUAUAAGUUUUUGGUUGGGGUGACCACGGAGCAUAACAUAACCUCCACGUUGAAGAAAUUCUAUUUUAAGCUGAGAACCACCAAUCUAAGCAUCAACAUCCUGACAUCAAUUGAUCCAAUACUCUUGAACAACGAACCAAGUUACCCUAGGGAUAACAGCGCAAUCCACUUUAAGAGCCCCUAUCGACAAGUGGGUUUACGACCUCGAUGUUGGAUCAGGGUCUCCAAGUGGUGCAGCCGCUACUAAAGGUUCGUUUGUUCAACGAUUAAAACCCU